GCUGAUGUAAUAAGAUUAUUGCUAAAUGCUCAAUAAAAUCACCGUAAAUAGUUAAAAGCUUCCAAUCUAGAAUCCUAAAGAUAAAGGAAAUUAGUAAAUGAACAUGACUUAAUAUCUAUCUCUCAGGCUAAUCAAAUAACUAGCUUAGAAUAUAAUUAAAAAUCACCUAAUUCUAAGACACAAACCUAAAUUUAAACAUAUGAAAAAGUAUAAUGAAAAAAAAAUCUUCUUUGCGAGAAUUAACUGAUCUCGUGUUAGAUCGAAAGAAAUGUGAUGCAUAUUUUUAGAAUCGAUCUGUAGAGAUUUUGUUUUAAAAUAAAUUGAGCAAUGUUGACAAUGUGCACCCGCGUCAAACCUCUUUCUCCACAAGCCAGAAAAUUAAUAAAAAAUAAUUAUACAAAGAAAGCAGAGUGACUAGCCACUAGCGUCGGUAGAGUCAAGUGCAUACAUUUCUAUCGACAAAAAAGAAUUAGUCAAUUUACUGAAUUUCAGAGCGUAAAACCCAGUCCUGCAACCCAAAGGGGAGAUUUAUUUGUCCAUUUAUUUUUCCCUAUAAUACUGUCCAACCCAAGUUGACAUAUAAAACAUUUUUAGGUACUCUGUUUGCUUGAUUUUGCACUGACACCAUAUGCACCUUGAUAUAAGUUAUAAUUCUAAAUAAAGGCAUGAAAUUAAGUUUUUUUUUCAAAAAAAAUAAUUAAAGGACUGAACUUUCUGACGAGCCAAAUUUUUGCCGGCUGACUUUUUUCUGACCAAUUAAAACGGGGCAAUUUUCUCUAAAAUUUGUAAUUGGGUAAAAAAAAAAAAUUCUGUCCCCAAAAGAAAUCCCCAAAUUGAAUUGGGAUUAGGGUUCUUCUUUCGUUUCUUCUUCCUCUCAGGUAGUCAAGCAAAUUCCCCCUCCCCCGCUCCGCGCACCGCCCUCGCUGCUCCUUGCCAGAGAGAAUGCUCCCUGCAUUGUGUUUGCUGAUGAAAUUGAUGCCGUGGGGGCGGCAGAGAGGAACUGGAAUUGGAGGGGGAAAUGACGAAAGAUAAAACCAUCCAUCUCU
Molecule: long non-coding RNA, 1046 nt
Filed under: Eucalyptus grandis
Lineage: Eukaryota; Viridiplantae; Streptophyta; Magnoliopsida; Myrtales; Myrtaceae
Description: long non-coding RNA (EGRA_LNC004077)
Source: RNAcentral